This 680-nucleotide ribosomal RNA is filed under the name uncultured bacterium. Its description in RNAcentral is "bacterial SSU rRNA". It matches the Rfam family "Bacterial small subunit ribosomal RNA", at positions 66 to 720 of the family's 1533-position model. The record is from RNAcentral.
ACGGACUUAAUAAAGCUUGCUUUAAAAAGUUAGUGGCGAACGGGUGAGUAACACGUGGGUAACCUGCCCUUUAGACGGGGACAACAUUCCGAAAGGAGUGCUAAUACCGGAUAAGCUCUUUUACUCGCAUGAGUGAAGGAAGAAAGGUGGCCUCUAUUUAUAAGCUACCGCUAAAGGAUGGGCCUGCGUCUGAUUAGCUAGUUGGAGUGGUAACGGCACACCAAGGCUUCGAUCAGUAGCCGGUCUGAGAGGAUGAACGGCCACACUGGGACUGAGACACGGCCCAGACUCCUACGGGAGGCAGCAGUGGGGAAUUUUCCGCAAUGGACGAAAGUCUGACGGAGCAACGCCGCGUGAGUGAAGAAGGCCUUCGGGUCGUAAAGCUCUUUUGUCAGGGACGAACGUGCAGGUUGUAAAUAAUGACUUGUAAUGACGGUACCUGAAGAAAAAGCCACGGCUAACUACGUGCCAGCAGCCGCGGUAAUACGUAGGUGGCAAGCGUUGUCCGGAAUUAUUGGGCGUAAAGCGCGCGUAGGCGGAAAAAUAAGUCUGUUGCUAAAAUGCGGGGCUUAACCCCGUAGUGCAAUGGAAACUGUUUUUCUUGAGUGCAGGAGAGGAAAGGGGAAUUCCCAGUGUAGCGGUGAAAUGCGUAGAUAUUGGGAGGAACACCAGUGGCGAAG